RNAcentral lists this ribosomal RNA (613 nucleotides) under uncultured bacterium. Its description in RNAcentral is "bacterial SSU rRNA". It matches the Rfam family "Bacterial small subunit ribosomal RNA", at positions 28 to 638 of the family's 1533-position model. The record is from RNAcentral.
AUUGAACGCUGGCGGCAUGCCUUACACAUGCAAGUCGAACGGCAGCGCGGGGCAACCUGGCGGCGAGUGGCGAACGGGUGAGUAAUAUAUCGGAACGUACCCUGGAGUGGGGGAUAACGUAGCGAAAGUUACGCUAAUACCGCAUACGAUCUAAGGAUGAAAGUGGGGGAUCGCAAGACCUCAUGCUCCUGGAGCGGCCGAUAUCUGAUUAGCUAGUUGGUAGGGUAAAAGCCUACCAAGGCAUCGAUCAGUAGCUGGUCUGAGAGGACGACCAGCCACACUGGAACUGAGACACGGUCCAGACUCCUACGGGAGGCAGCAGUGGGGAAUUUUGGACAAUGGGCGCAGGCCUGAUCCAGCAAUGCCGCGUGAGUGAAGAAGGCCUUCGGGUUGUAAAGCUCUUUUGUCAGGGAAGAAACGGGUCUUUCUAAUACAGAGGCCUAAUGACGGUACCUGAAGAAUAAGCACCGGCUAACUACGUGCCAGCAGCCGCGGUAAUACGUAGGGUGCAAGCGUUAAUCGGAAUUACUGGGCGUAAAGCGUGCGCAGGCGGUUUUGUAAGUCUGUCGUGAAAUCCCCGGGCUCAACCUGGGAAUGGCGAUGGAGACUGCAA